This 96-nucleotide transfer RNA is filed under the name Planctomycetota bacterium. RNAcentral describes it as "tRNA-Sec". It matches the Rfam family "Selenocysteine transfer RNA". RNAcentral also lists the same sequence under 1 other name. The record is from RNAcentral. Lineage: Bacteria; Pseudomonadati; Planctomycetota.
GGCAGCGGUUGAAGGGCUGGUGCCCUCCACGGACUUCAAAUCCGGCGUGUCGGGUUGCACUCGGCAGGUAGGUUCGAUUCCUAUGCGCUGCCGCCA